RNAcentral lists this ribosomal RNA (464 nucleotides) under uncultured bacterium. RNAcentral describes it as "partial 16S ribosomal RNA". It matches the Rfam family "Bacterial small subunit ribosomal RNA", at positions 339 to 795 of the family's 1533-position model. The record is from RNAcentral.
CUACGGGAGGCAGCAGUGGGGAAUAUUGGACAAUGGGCGAAAGCCUGAUCCAGCAAUGCCGCGUGUGCGAUGAAGGCCUGAGGGUUGUAAAGCACUUUCGUUGGGAAAGAAAUGCUCAAAGCUAAUACCUUUGAGAGUUGACGUUACCCAAAGAAGAAGCACCGGCUAACUCUGUGCCAGCAGCCGCGGUAAUACAGAGGGUGCAAGCGUUAAUCAGAGUUACUGGGCGUAAAGGGCGCGUAGGCGGAUACUUAAGUCGGAUGUGAAAUCCCUGGGCUCAACCUAGGAACUGCGUUCGAUACUAAGUGCCUAGAGUAUGGUAGAGGAAAGUGGAAUUCCCGGUGUAGUGGUAAUAUACGUAGAUAUCGGGAGGAACAUCAGUGGCGAAGGCGACUUUCUGGGCCAAUACUGACGCUGAGGCGCGAAAGCGUGGGGAGCAAACAGGAUUAGAUACCCUCGUAGUC